GACGAACGCUGGCGACGUGCUUAACACAUGCAAGUCGAACGGAAAGGCCCUGCUUGCAGGGUACUCGAGUGGCGAACGGGUGAGUAACACGUGGGUGAUUUGCCCUGCACUUCGGGAUAAGCCUGGGAAACUGGGUCUAAUACCGGAUAGGAGCCAUUUUUAGUGUGAUGGUUGGAAAGUUUUUUCGGUGUAGGAUGAGCUCGCGGCCUAUCAGCUUGUUGGUGGGGUAAUGGCCUACCAAGGCGGCGACGGGUAGCCGGCCUGAGAGGGUGGACGGCCACAUUGGGACUGAGAUACGGCCCAGACUCCUACGGGGGGCAGCAGUGGGGAAUAUUGAACAAUGGGCGCAAGCCUGAUGCAGCGACGCCGCGUGGGGGAUGACGGCCUUCGGGUUGUAAACUCCUUUCGCUAGGGACGAAGCUUUUUGUGACGGUACCUAGAGAAGAAGCACCGGCUAACUACGUG
RNAcentral lists this ribosomal RNA (465 nucleotides) under uncultured bacterium. RNAcentral's name for it is "partial 16S ribosomal RNA". It matches the Rfam family "Bacterial small subunit ribosomal RNA", at positions 28 to 507 of the family's 1533-position model. The record is from RNAcentral.